Molecule: ribosomal RNA, 788 nt
Filed under: Triticum aestivum (bread wheat)
Lineage: Eukaryota; Viridiplantae; Streptophyta; Magnoliopsida; Poales; Poaceae
Description: partial small subunit ribosomal RNA
Source: RNAcentral
AUUGGUAUUCAACCCGCGACCCUUCAUUUACAGAAAAGCUCUUACCGACAGCGCCCGUUCUGCCGUUCGUCGGCGGCCGCUAUGGCUCGCACGGGAGGAUGAAGGAACGCUCGCCGGGGUGUGUGCGGCGAAGACGGCUUCUGCCAAGCGGCGAGGUGGAGCAGGGGCGGUGGUUGUCGGGCUACAUAAGGAGGCAGAGGCGGCCAAGGCAAGGAGGCACCGGCGUCGGCUAGCCAAGAGGCGGCCGAAGCAGAGGAGGACGGGAAGGCAAGGAGGCACGGGCACCGGCUAGCCAAGGGGCGGACGGAGUAGAGGACGAUGGGAGGCGGUCGACCAUGGAUGCGAAGGUGCUCGCAAGUAGGGAGGAGCAGAGGCGACGACGGAGUGGCUCGGGUGCUCGCGCUCGUGCAGUGUCAGAGGUCAAGAUUUCCAACACGAGAGAGUGGUCGGUGUUGUGCUGGACCGCCAUGGCCACUAGCGGUGGUGGAGGAGGGAUGAACGCCAUGGCCGCUGGUCCUGGUGGAGCAGGGGAGCCGGGAGAUUCGACGGCGCGCGGGGGUCCUGGCAGCGUGGAGGGACGCCCGCCAUGGCCGCUGGUGUCCUGUGGAGCAGGGGCUCGGCGGCGCGGGGGAGCAGGCGUCCCGCUGGUGGGGAGCGGGGCCGGGCAUCCGGGAUAGGGCGGCGCAUCUCGCGGCGAGGUGGAGCAGGUGCGGUGAGGGAUGGGAAUGGAUAAGAGCUGCGCUUUGGCGACGGGGCUCGCGGAAGAGAAAACUGAGGAGCCAAAUUUC